RNAcentral lists this ribosomal RNA (94 nucleotides) under Vibrio hepatarius. Lineage: Bacteria; Pseudomonadati; Pseudomonadota; Gammaproteobacteria; Vibrionales; Vibrionaceae. The record is from RNAcentral. RNAcentral also lists the same sequence under 1 other name.
ACCCACCUGAUUCCAUGCCGAACUCAGAAGUGAAACGAAUUAGCGCCGAUGGUAGUGUGGGGCUUCCCCAUGUGAGAGUAGGACAUCGCCAGGC